GUGGGGAAUAUUGGACAAUGGGCGGAAGCCUGAUCCAGCCAUGCCGCGUGUGUGAAGAAGGUCUUCGGAUUGUAAAGCACUUUAAGUUGGGAGGAAGGGCAGUAAGCUAAUACCUUGCUGUUUUGACGUUACCGACAGAAUAAGCACCGGCUAACUUCGUGCCAGCAGCCGCGGUAAUACGAAGGGUGCAAGCGUUAAUCGGAAUUACUGGGCGUAAAGCGCGCGUAGGUGGUUCAGCAAGUUGGAGGUGAAAUCCCCGGGCUCAACCUGGGAACUGCCUCCAAAACUACUGAGCUAGAGUACGGUAGAGGGUAGUGGAAUUUCCUGUGUAGCGGUGAAAUGCGUAGAUAUAGGAAGGAACACCAGUGGCGAAGGCGACUACCUGGACUGAUACUGACACUGAGGUGCGAAAGCGUGGGGAGCAAACAGGAUUAGAAACCCUGGUAGUCC
This 450-nucleotide ribosomal RNA is filed under the name uncultured bacterium. RNAcentral's name for it is "partial 16S ribosomal RNA". It matches the Rfam family "Bacterial small subunit ribosomal RNA", at positions 354 to 796 of the family's 1533-position model. The record is from RNAcentral.